AUUGAACGCUGGCGGCAUGCCUUACACAUGCAAGUCGAACGGCAGCACGGGUGCUUGCACCUGGUGGCGAGUGGCGAACGGGUGAGUAAUACAUCGGAACAUGUCCUGUAGUGGGGGAUAGCCCGGCGAAAGCCGGAUUAAUACCGCAUACGAUCCACGGAUGAAAGCGGGGGACCUUCGGGCCUCGCGCUAUAGGGUUGGCCGAUGGCUGAUUAGCUAGUUGGUGGGGUAAAGGCCUACCAAGGCGACGAUCAGUAGCCGGUCUGAGAGGACGACCAGCCACACUGGGACUGAGACACGGCCCAGACUCCUACGGGAGGCAGCAGUGGGGAAUUUUGGACAAUGGGCGAAAGCCUGAUCCAGCAAUGCCGCGUGUGUGAAGAAGGCCUUCGGGUUGUAAAGCACUUUUGUCCGGAAAGAAAUCCUUGGCUCUAAUACAGUCGGGGGAUGACGGUACCGGAAGAAUAAGCACCGGCUAACUACGUG
This 486-nucleotide ribosomal RNA is filed under the name uncultured bacterium. RNAcentral describes it as "partial 16S ribosomal RNA". It matches the Rfam family "Bacterial small subunit ribosomal RNA", at positions 30 to 507 of the family's 1533-position model. The record is from RNAcentral.